Vidua macroura (Pin-tailed whydah) is the source of this 863-nucleotide long non-coding RNA. RefSeq lists it as uncharacterized. The transcript has 5 exons. Lineage: Eukaryota; Metazoa; Chordata; Aves; Passeriformes; Viduidae. The record is from RefSeq and is a predicted model, not a curated record.
GUUGGAUGCCGGGAGAGGCCUGGGCGCAGGGCUCCAGCGCCGGAGACUUUGGACCGGGGCACUGGGUGUAGCGUUCUUCUGAACCGGUGGAAACACUGCACCCAUGCCGGUCUUGGCACACAUGCAGCAAGGCCUUGGCUUCAAGAGUUGGCUCUGCUGACCAUCCAGCCCCGACUGCAGCACUAUGACCAGGCUAACAUGGACACAGCCAAACGGAUAAAAGAGUGUGAGGAAUAUCUGCAUCAUGAGAUGACUUGGCUGCUGCAGGUGAUAGAGGGGAAGAGAGGCACCAUGGAAGCCCCACUCCCUUCUGCAGUGCAGCAGCAGUGUCUGUUUUAAGGUGCUGUAUCAGCCCUCGUCCUGGUCACUGUUGGCUGCUGGCUGGACAGACAAAGGAAGCCUGCCUCUGCCAGCUGCAGGGACCAGGAAAGCUCCAGCAGCAAGAAGGAGGACAAUGGCCAGAAGUUCAAAGGUGCCCACAAUGGUCUGAGAUGCUUGUGAUCACCCAAUUCAUCACCAAUGGAAACAUUCAAGCUGAGGCUGGAUGGGGCUGACCUGCCCAGCACUUGAAGCAUGGACCAGCGUGAUAGAAUCAAGACCAGUAAUUUCAUCAUCUUCUAAGCUCCUCCAGGCCCAGUGUGGGAGGGUGCAGCUCACAGCAAACUUUGUGACCUUGGGAAGAUGAACUGAAGAUGACCACCCCAUACACAGGGAGCUUUUUUCCCUGCUCUAGAAGGCCUUAGAACCACAAAACAGAAUUGCUGGGCCAUGGAGAAGGCAGGAGGCCAGCAGCACCUGGGCAGGAAAGAGAUGCAAUCUCAACACCCUCCUUUCCUGACCCAAGAGGCACAGCAAAUAAAGGA